AUGGCAGGUCAGCAUACUGCCGUGAAUACGUUCCCGGGCCUUGUACACACCGCCCGUCACACCAUGAGAGUUGGGGAUACCCGAAGCCUGUGAGCCAACUUUUUAAGAGGCAGCAGUCGAAGGUAGAAUCAAUGAUUGGGGUGAAGUCGUAACAAGGUAGC
RNAcentral lists this ribosomal RNA (161 nucleotides) under uncultured bacterium. Its description in RNAcentral is "partial 16S ribosomal RNA". It matches the Rfam family "Bacterial small subunit ribosomal RNA", at positions 1341 to 1500 of the family's 1533-position model. The record is from RNAcentral.